Molecule: ribosomal RNA, 376 nt
Filed under: Campanulotes bidentatus
Lineage: Eukaryota; Metazoa; Arthropoda; Insecta; Psocodea; Philopteridae
Description: partial large subunit ribosomal RNA
Source: RNAcentral
GGUAGCUCAUACGGACAUGUUUUGAAUUUAAUUGUUUGUAAAAAUGCAGACAUGUGAGAGAGGGACGAGAAGACCCUAUAGAUCUUAAAAAAGUUUUUAAUUAAAUUUUGAUUGGAAAUUUUUUUUAUUUGGGGAAAAUCCUGAAAUGUAUUAAAACUUCGGUUAAUAAAAAAAUUUAAUAAUUAAUUUUUGAUCCAUUUGUAGAGUGAAAAAAUGAAAAAGUUACCUUAGGGAUAACAGCGAUUUUCGGUGGCUCGUAGGUUUCCUCCAGACACAGUCGGUCUCUUCACCGAAAGGUUUGCGGGGCCCUCGCUUGGCUUAUUGAUACAGCCGAGCGAUUACAAAAAACACACUUCCACAACAAAUUAUAGAAUUU